Onthophagus taurus is the source of this 354-nucleotide non-coding RNA. NCBI's taxonomy places the organism in Eukaryota, Metazoa, Arthropoda, Insecta, Coleoptera, Scarabaeidae. The record is from RefSeq and is a predicted model, not a curated record.
AUGUCUUACUAUAAAAUAAUUAAAUAAAAACUAGGAUAUAGAAUAUGCGUCAUCAUCCGCUAACCAACACCCUCAAUCUCAUCCCUUAUUAAGCGCUAAAGAAGCUGUUUCCUUAUGGGUUUUAGGUGCUAGAAAGGCUAUGUACAGGCAAUUGAUGGAGGCUAAAAACGCCAAAAAUAAGAUCGACCCAGAAAUAACACUGCAAUUUUUAAAAUCAGCAAUUUACUACUUCUUAACUGACAAAGAAAAUAGUCAAGGUCAUCUAAAAGCGAUCCAAAGCAUUUUAGGAUUCACCCCAGCCGAAAUUAAUCAAAUUGAUAAGAAUAGAACUAAUUAAAUUUAAAUAUAAACGUA